AAUUAUUGGGCGUAAAGCGUUCGUAGGCUGUUUAUUAAGUUGGGGGUGAAAUCUCCGGGCUCAACCCGGAGCUCGUUCUCAAAACUGGUAGACUUGAGUAAGGUAGAGGCUGACGGAAUUCUGCAAGUAGGGGUAAAAUCCGUUGAUCUGCAGAGGAACACCAAAAGCGAAGGCAGUCAGCUGGGCCUUUACUGACGCUGAGGGACGAAAGCGUGGGUAGCGAACGGGAUUAGAUACCCCGGUAGUCCACGCCGUAAAUGAUGGAUACUGGACAUUGGUACUCGAUCGUAUCAGUGUCUCAAGCUAACGCAUUAAGUAUCCCGCCUGGGGAGUACGGUCGCAAGAUUAAAACUCAAAGGAAUAGACGGGGACCCACACAAGCGGUGGAGCAUGUGGUUUAAUUCGACAAUAAGCGAGGAACCUUACCAGGGCUUGACAUCCCGAGAAUUCUUUAGAAAUAGAGAAGUGCCUUUAUGGAACUCGGUGACAGGUGCUGCAUGGUUGUCGUCAGCUCGUGCCUUGAGGUGUUCGGUUAAGUCCGUAAACGAGCGCAACCCUAGUCCUAUGUUGUAUAUUUCAUAGGAGACUGCCUUGUCCAACGAGGAGGAAGGUUAGGAUGACGUCAAAUCAGCAUGGCCCUUAUGUCCUGGGCGACACACGUGCUACAAUGGUCGGUACAAUGGGUAGCCAACCCGCGAGGGGGAGCCAAUCCCAUCAAAGCCGGUCCAAGUUCGGAUUGGAGGCUGCAACUCGCCUCCAUGAAGUUGGAAUCGCUA
Molecule: ribosomal RNA, 776 nt
Filed under: uncultured bacterium
Lineage: Bacteria
Description: bacterial SSU rRNA
Rfam family: Bacterial small subunit ribosomal RNA
Source: RNAcentral